UAGGGAAUCUUCGGCAAUGGGGGCGAACCCUGACCGAGCAACGCCGCGUGAGUGAAGAAGGUUUUCGGAUCGUAAAGCUCUGUUGUAAGAGAAGAACGUGUGUGAGAGUGGAAAGUUCACACAGUGACGGUAACUUACCAGAAAGGGACGGCUAACUACGUGCCAG
Molecule: ribosomal RNA, 166 nt
Filed under: uncultured bacterium
Lineage: Bacteria
Description: partial 16S rRNA
Rfam family: Bacterial small subunit ribosomal RNA
Source: RNAcentral